UUGAAGGCACCGAUGAUUGGUUAUUGUCGGACGAUGAGGGGUGACUAUAAGACAAGUUAAAUGUGCGAGAGUGGGCGGGGCGACGGCCUGGCAAUUUGGGUGAGAGAAGAGGGUGCGUUGACAUUGGGAAGGAUG
Molecule: non-coding RNA, 135 nt
Organism: Caenorhabditis elegans
Lineage: Eukaryota; Metazoa; Nematoda; Chromadorea; Rhabditida; Rhabditidae
Source: Ensembl